GCCUAGCUAGCUCAGUCGGUAGAGCAUUAAACUCUUAAUCUCAGGGUUGGGGGUUCGAGCUUCCGUUGGGCG
RNAcentral lists this transfer RNA (72 nucleotides) under Daphnia galeata. It matches the Rfam family "tRNA". Rfam says of the family: Transfer RNA (tRNA) molecules are approximately 80 nucleotides in length. Their secondary structure includes four short double-helical elements and three loops (D, anti-codon, and T loops). Further hydrogen bonds mediate the characteristic L-shaped molecular structure. tRNAs have two regions of fundamental functional importance: the anti-codon, which is responsible for specific mRNA codon recognition, and the 3' end, to which the tRNAs corresponding amino acid is attached (by aminoacyl-tRNA synthetases). tRNAs cope with the degeneracy of the genetic code in two manners: having more than one tRNA (with a specific anti-codon) for a particular amino acid; and 'wobble' base-pairing, i.e. permitting non-standard base-pairing at the 3rd anti-codon position. The record is from Rfam by way of RNAcentral. Lineage: Eukaryota; Metazoa; Arthropoda; Branchiopoda; Diplostraca; Daphniidae.